This 70-nucleotide transfer RNA is filed under the name Loxodonta africana (African savanna elephant). It matches the Rfam family "tRNA". Rfam says of the family: Transfer RNA (tRNA) molecules are approximately 80 nucleotides in length. Their secondary structure includes four short double-helical elements and three loops (D, anti-codon, and T loops). The record is from Rfam by way of RNAcentral. Lineage: Eukaryota; Metazoa; Chordata; Mammalia; Proboscidea; Elephantidae.
GCAUUGGUGGUUCAUUGGUAGAAUUCUCAUCUUGCAUGUAGAGACCCAGGUUUGAUUCCUGGCCAGUGAA